Labeo rohita (rohu) is the source of this 1594-nucleotide long non-coding RNA. RefSeq lists it as uncharacterized. The record is from RefSeq and is a predicted model, not a curated record. The transcript has 3 exons. Lineage: Eukaryota; Metazoa; Chordata; Actinopteri; Cypriniformes; Cyprinidae.
UACUCAAUUAAUGUAAUUAUUAAGAAGGUAAACAUGAAGGUCAGAUUACUUGAGAUGACUUGAAAGGUGAAAGCUGAGGGCUUGCCUCCAAACUCAAACUGUGACUUAAUCAUGCUCUAUUUUGUCAAAUUUGCGGGAAGUAGAGGAUGAUGGAGUAAUAUCUAAAAUGGCUCAGUCAGCAAUAAUCACUUUUAAAAAUUUUGAAGAUAUAUAAUAUGGUUACAUUUGAUUUAAUAGCUGAAAUUAAUUUUGACGUGCAUAAACUAUAAAACGUGUUACUUCAGAUGUGUCCUCAAAGAGCAACAUCACAUUAAAGAGCAAACUUACACUGAGCACUACACACAGCUUUAUAUGGUAAAGACAGACCCACCCUGAUACUUCCAGAGGCAUUUAUUGAGAAGAUUGAUAAGAACUGUGUGGCAGCACUUAGUCACUCAAGCUAUGUACAGUCAUUUUUGCAGGAUAGAUUUCAAUCCUCAUCAGUGAAGAUCAGUCCUUUGCUGUGUCAGUGUCUAAAGUUAAAUCUACUGAGCUGAAAUGCCUUUCUCUCAAAAUAUUAUUUUUGUGUGUGUAUGUGUUUUUUAAACAGUUAACAAUUUUACAGAAUUUUAGUCCAUAGUUACAGAUAGAAUUCCUGGCAUGUGUGUAUCUAAUUUUUGAGUUAGACAGGCAGUGCAGUAUAUUGUGAAUAAACACAUGGCAACAUCACAGACAACUCAAUUUCAUACUUGUAUCCAUUAUGGGAUGUUAACUGGUUUUUACGUCUGUUUUUGAUUAUAGAUUGAACAAAUCCAAAAUCCUGGACAGGUGGAAGAAUUACCAGAUUAACAAAAGUCAUGGAAAUUAAAGAAUGGGCAUCAAAACAAUGAAAAAAGACUCUUCAUGGAACCAGUGAACAGACUAUCAGUCACAUUGAAAAAUGUGGCUUUAAUUCUUCAGUAUACGGAAAUGGAACUUACUUUGCAUGUAAUGUAAACUACUCUUCUAGCAGCACAGUGCCUAAUGCUCUGGGACCUAAAGGAGAAGUCCACUUCCAGAACAAAAAUCUGACAAAAAGAGAAAACAACAGAAGACACAACAGCAGAGAAACUGCAGCAACAACCAACAUCUAUAUGAAUCACAGUGUAUACUAAAUGUUAAAUGUUAUUGUGCAGCACACAUAACUAAUAUUACAAAAUGUGUUUUGAAGCGACAGCAGAUCAAGACAGUGUGUGUCUGUGAGCACCUGUUUUUACACCAAUGUGAAUGCUUGUGUGUACACCUGUGUGCACACCUGUGUGUGUGAGCGCGUUUGUGUUCAUAAGGUUCUUCUAUGUAAAUGUUUAAUAGUGUGUGUGGGGAACCGCAGCCCCGCCCCGCAAGGUAUGAAGCAGACAUGGGGGAGACCCGGGCCCCGAACAUCCGGAGGCCCCCCCUGGCACGAGAGUCCCAGGAGAACCACCGCAGAGAAAACCGCGGCCCCCACCCAGAAAAGGGCAGAGGAGAGCCCGGAGGGGGAUCAUCCGGCAGCCACCAUGCAGACGUCCCAGGGGGCCGCGGCGGCAAGCCCGCAGGCUCCGCCGGCAGCCGGCCACACCAGAGCAGACCGGCCCCU